ACAUGCUUGCUUCCCCUUCACCUUCCUCCAUGAUGUGGGAAGAGUGCUGCAACCCAGCCCUAACCAACGCCGCAUGAGAGGGACUGUGCUGCAGGCUUCUGAGAAGGUUUCUCUCACAUCUAGAAAGAAGCUUUUAAAAUGCGGCAGCCCCUCUUCUUCAAGUGGCUCUUGUCCUGUUGCCCUGGGAGUUCUAAAAUUGCUGCAGCAGCCUCCACCCAGCCUGAGGAUGACAACAAUACACAGAGGAAGAAGAGUCAGGAAAAGAUGAGAGAAGUUACAGACUCUCCUGGGUGAUCCCCAGAGCUUACCAUUCCUCAGACUUCUUGAUAUGGUGCUAACAGAUUUUUACCAUUGAAAUGACAUACUGCAUCCUAUAGUUAUACUAUCCACUUUGAAAUCAAUGUGAAUUUAACUUUGAUUCCAUACAAAAGCUCUUCUUUUCCACAGCAAGCUGGAGUGUGAUGGUGCAAUCCCAACUCACUGCAACCUCAGCUUCCCAAGUUCAAGCUAUUUUCCUGGCUUAGCCUCCCGAGUAGCUGGAAUUACAGGUGUGCGCCCCUAUGC
RNAcentral lists this small RNA (564 nucleotides) under Pongo abelii (Sumatran orangutan). RNAcentral describes it as "processed transcript". Lineage: Eukaryota; Metazoa; Chordata; Mammalia; Primates; Hominidae. The record is from RNAcentral.